AAACUUGGGGCUACCUCUACCAACUCAAUCAUGGGCGAAGGCACAUGUUGUAAAGGGUGGUCAACAGAUCAUCUUUCGCCGGAAAAUUACACUAUGUAUACAGGUAAAAUAUGAUAUUUUAGAGGUAUGUAACAUAAAUUAAACACUUUUUUUUUACUUCUUUCAAGUUUGAACACCCUUAAGUAAAUUUCUAAUUUCGCCACUGAACUCAACUGUCCCAACCAAUCUAGAUGGACACAUUCAGAAAUGAUCCUUAUUCCCCAAACCAACCGACAUUAACAUUGAUAAUAGUACCAAGAACUCUGGACACCAACAAACCACAUUU
This 325-nucleotide long non-coding RNA is filed under the name Nicotiana benthamiana. RNAcentral's name for it is "long non-coding RNA (NBEN_LNC036192)". The record is from RNAcentral. Lineage: Eukaryota; Viridiplantae; Streptophyta; Magnoliopsida; Solanales; Solanaceae.